UUUUUCACUCAAAAGAGCAAUUGCUUCAUUUGAAAAUUGUCAACUGACAAAGUGGAAACGAAUGGGAGGGAGACAUAUAGAGACUGGAGGUCGAAGGUGGCCUGUCUUAGCUUUUCCGGUGAUGGAUGUCAUUCAACCUUAGCUGUGCACCAGAAAAUCCCUUGAAAUGUGGCAAUUUUAUUUUAGCAAGGAGAUUGAAAAACGCUUACCUGAAUGGAGUUUUUAAAAGCAGAUUCACUCAGCUUUCCGGCAAUCGAUGGACUGUAAAAGGACUAAUAAAAUGUUCCAAUUAAACCGAAUGCGAUCAAUAAAGGACACAGGCGCUGGCAACUUAAAGCUUUACGCUUAUUGAAAGCCCAUCUAUCUGGCUCUUACUGCCAGUCGUGCCCCCGGCAACACCCGCCCUUCAUUCUCCUAUUACUCCAGGCAGCUGCGUUGAUUGCCGUAACAGCUUUUGAAAUUAAGUCGCUGCAAGUCGGCUAUAGUUGGGGGCACGGGAUUGGGGCGAGAAAGGGUAAGGAUUGCAGUACCGGGGGACAGGACAUUCCCAGCAAGACGAAAUGAGGCUGACAACCAGCUCAGGCCACACAGAGAAAAUGUGUGAUCCAAAGUGCUCCAUCACUACUUGUAACUCACUAAUCCUAUUUGGAAAUCUUAAUUAGCUCUAAAAUAGUUUUCACCUUUUAUGGGUAUUUUUGUAAUUAGGCAAAAAUAAU
RNAcentral lists this long non-coding RNA (716 nucleotides) under Drosophila melanogaster (fruit fly). RNAcentral describes it as "long non-coding RNA:CR44486 (Dmel_CR44486)". The record is from RNAcentral. Lineage: Eukaryota; Metazoa; Arthropoda; Insecta; Diptera; Drosophilidae.